UGCAGAUGAUGAUUUACGAUAUUUGCUAUCUGAGUAGCAGUGAUUACAUGCUUAACCACCAAGAUCGCUGAUGCA
RNAcentral lists this small nucleolar RNA (75 nucleotides) under Phascolarctos cinereus (koala). RNAcentral describes it as "Small nucleolar RNA SNORD24 (ENSPCIG00000017364.2)". It matches the Rfam family "Small nucleolar RNA SNORD24". Rfam says of the family: U24 is a member of the C/D class of snoRNA which contain the C (UGAUGA) and D (CUGA) box motifs. C/D box snoRNAs have been shown to act as methylation guides for a number of RNA targets. U24 is encoded within an intron of the gene for ribosomal protein L7a in mammals, chicken and Fugu. Lineage: Eukaryota; Metazoa; Chordata; Mammalia; Diprotodontia; Phascolarctidae. The record is from Rfam by way of RNAcentral.